Molecule: ribosomal RNA, 562 nt
Filed under: uncultured Bifidobacterium sp.
Lineage: Bacteria; Bacillati; Actinomycetota; Actinomycetes; Bifidobacteriales; Bifidobacteriaceae
Description: bacterial SSU rRNA
Rfam family: Bacterial small subunit ribosomal RNA
Source: RNAcentral
CUCCUGGAAACGGGUGGUAAUGCCGGAUGUUCCACAUGAGCGCAUGCGAGUGUGGGAAAGGCUUUUUGCGGCAUGGGAUGGGGUCGCGUCCUAUCAGCUUGUUGGUGGGGUAACGGCCUACCAAGGCGUUGACGGGUAGCCGGCCUGAGAGGGCGACCGGCCACAUUGGGACUGAGAUACGGCCCAGACUCCUACGGGAGGCAGCAGUGGGGAAUAUUGCACAAUGGGCGCAAGCCUGAUGCAGCGACGCCGCGUGCGGGAUGGAGGCCUUCGGGUUGUAAACCGCUUUUAUUCAAGGGCAAGGCACGGUUUCGGCCGUGUUGAGUGGAUUGUUCGAAUAAGCACCGGCUAACUACGUGCCAGCAGCCGCGGUAAUACGUAGGGUGCAAGCGUUAUCCGGAUUUAUUGGGCGUAAAGGGCUCGUAGGCGGUUCGUCGCGUCCGGUGUGAAAGUCCAUCGCUUAACGGUGGAUCCGCGCCGGGUACGGGCGGGCUUGAGUGCGGUAGGGGAGACUGGAAUUCCCGGUGUAACGGUGGAAUGUGUAGAUAUCGGGAAGAACACC